Non-coding RNA from Amborella trichopoda, 863 nucleotides. NCBI's taxonomy places the organism in Eukaryota, Viridiplantae, Streptophyta, Magnoliopsida, Amborellales, Amborellaceae. The record is from RefSeq and is a predicted model, not a curated record.
UAAACACGAAUACCCGUUUCGUUGUCACAUGUUAAAAAGGAAGAAAGAGAGAGAGAUUUGAAGCAUCGACUGCAAGAGGAGAGGUAACAAUGGACGAAGCAGAGUUUCGACAACUCCUCCAUAUGUUCCCUGUUGUUCGAUCACGCACUUACUGUGCUGAUACUGAUGCAUCAAGACAAAUAUCUUCACAGACAGAGAAGGACGAAAUAAUGGAAUGGCAAGAUGCAUGGGCUGAAUUAGACAUGAAAGGAAACAAAGUUCAAGCAAUCGACUUAGAAGUUAUAAUAAAUUCUUGUAGAACUACAACUGCACUACAAGCCGGAGGCACUUCAACCAAUAAAAACUGCCCCUUGAGAGAGGUGAAGAGAGACGAGGAAACUUUUCUGGAGAUGGCUGCACAACUCUAUACAAGAAGACACAAACCUUGGCUAGAAAGGACCUCCCUUGUAACUCUCUCUAUUAUGCAAUCCCUUUUGGGAGAAAUUGAGGUUGGCUGCUGAGAAAAAGAUGAAUGCAGCAGAUGCGGAGAAAUUCUGCAAGGCUUUCCAAAGUGUUUAUAAGAGACUCGUUUAUGAAGCAAUGACACCUGAUUGCAUCAGUAGAAUUGCGAGUAUGAGAGUAAGCCCAACAAACUAAACAAAGCCACCACCUUUCUUAUGGUUCAUUUUGCCUUAAGCUUUCUGUCUGUACUUUUAAAUUUUGGCUUCUCCUCGGGCUUCUAAACAGUGUUUUGAGUAGAUGAUUCAGAUGUACUUUAAAGUAAUCAGAACAUUUGGGUGAUGUAUUUUAUGUCAGCCCUCUGUUGCACAUUUUGAUAUCAGAAUUUGUGUUGCAAUCUUCAAGUUGCUUGACUUGGUUUUUGA